RNAcentral lists this ribosomal RNA (305 nucleotides) under uncultured bacterium. Its description in RNAcentral is "bacterial SSU rRNA". It matches the Rfam family "Bacterial small subunit ribosomal RNA", at positions 336 to 658 of the family's 1533-position model. The record is from RNAcentral.
UUCCUACGGGGGGCAGCAGUCGGGAAUAUUGCACAAUGGAGGAAACUCUGAUGCAGUGACGCCGCGUGCAGGAAGAAGGUUUUCGGAUUGUAAACUGCUUUAGAUGGGGAAGAAAAAAGACUGUACCCAUAGAAUAAGCUCCGGCUAACUACGUGCCAGCAGCCGCGGUAAUACGUAGGGGGCAAGCGUUAUCCGGAAUUAUUGGGCGUAAAGAGUGCGUAGGUGGUUACUUAAGCGCGGGGUUUAAGGCAAUGGCUCAACCAUUGUUCGCCCUGCGAACUGGGUUACUUGAGUGCAGGAGAGGA